UCCCAGACUCCUACGGGAGGCAGCAGUGGGGAAUAUUGCACAAUGGGGGAAACCCUGAUGCAGCAACGCCGCGUGAGUGAAGAAGUAUUUCGGUAUGUAAAGCUCUAUCAGCAGGGAAGAAGAAAGACGGUACCUGACUAAGAAGCCCCGGCUAACUACGUGCCAGCAGCCGCGGUAAUACGUAGGGGGCAAGCGUUAUCCGGAUUCACUGGGUGUAAAGGGAGCGUAGACGGCGACGCAAGUCUGGAGUGAAAGCCCGGGGCCCAACCCCGGGACUGCUCUGGAAACUGCGGCGCUGGAGUACGGGAGGGGCAGGCGGAAUUCCUGGUGUAGCGGUGAAAUGCGUAGAUAUCAGGAGGAACACCGGUGGCGAAGGCGGCCUGCUGGACUGCAACUGACGUUGAGGCCCGAAAGCGUGGGGAGCAAACAGGAUUAGAUACCCGAGUA
This 447-nucleotide ribosomal RNA is filed under the name uncultured bacterium. RNAcentral describes it as "partial 16S ribosomal RNA". It matches the Rfam family "Bacterial small subunit ribosomal RNA", at positions 329 to 792 of the family's 1533-position model. The record is from RNAcentral.